RNAcentral lists this ribosomal RNA (2054 nucleotides) under human gut metagenome. RNAcentral describes it as "bacterial LSU rRNA". It matches the Rfam family "Bacterial large subunit ribosomal RNA", at positions 1 to 1980 of the family's 2925-position model. The record is from RNAcentral.
UAAAGCUACUAAGAGCUAAUGGAGAAUGCCUUGGUACUGACAGCCGAUGAAGGACGUGUAAAGCUGCGAUAAGCUUCGGGGAGUUGCUAAAAGACCUUGAUCCGAAGAAUUCCGAAUGGGGAAACCCUGCAAGGUUAAAACCUUGUAAUCCAUAGAUGAAUACAUAGUCUAUGAGAAGGAAAGCCUGUGAACUGAAACAUCUUAGUAACAGGACGAAAAGAAAAUAACCAAAUGAUUCCGAAAGUAGCGGCGAGCGAAAUUGGAAGAGCCUAAACAAUAUGUACGUGAUAGACUGCAAUCGUUGUGCAUAUUGGGUUGUGGGACUUACGGUAUAAUUUGCAGAUUAUACAAAGAGUUACAAAAUUAUUUAUUAGCUAAAUACAACUGGGAAGUUGAGCCAUAGCGGGUGAUAGCCCCUUAAGCGACAAUAAAUAAUCUCUUGUAAGUAUCCCGAGUAAGGCGGGGCACGUGAAACCCUGUCUGAAUCCACCGGGACCAUCCGGUAAGGCUAAAUACUAGUCAGUGACCGAUAGUGAACGAGUACAGUGAUGGAAAGGCGAAAAGAACAGUGAGAAGCUGAGUGAAAUAGACCCUGAAACCGUUAGCUUACAAUCAGUCAGAGCACUAUUAAUAGUGUGAUGGCGUGCCUGUUGAAGAAUGAGCCGGCGAGUUAUCUUAUGUUGCGAGGUUAAGGAGUUAACAUCCGGAGCCAUAGCGAAAGCGAGUUUGAAUAGAGCGUUAAGUAACCUGAGAUAGACCCGAACCUUGGUGAUCUAACCUUGACCAGGAUGAAGCGUGGGUAACACUACGUGGAGGUCCGAACCGACUGAUGUUGAAAAAUCAGCGGAUGAGUUGAGGUUAGGGGUGAAAUGCCAAUCGAACCAAGAGCUAGCUGGUUCUCCCCGAAAUGCGUUUAGGCACAGCGUCAGAAUUAUCUUACAGGAGGUAGAGCACUGGUUUUGUGCGGGCGACGAAAUGUUGUACCAAACAAUGUCAAACUCCGAAUGCCUGUAAUGUUACUAUCUGGCAGUGAGGCUAUGAGUGAUAAGAUCCAUGGCCAAGAGGGAAACAGCCCAGAACGCCAGUUAAGGUCCCUAAUAUAUGCUAAGUGGUUAAGGAGGUAGAGUUGCUGAGACAACCAGGAGGUUGGCUUAGAAGCAGCCAUCCCUUGAAAGAGUGCGUAAUAGCUCACUGGUCAAGCGACUCCGCGCCGAAAAUACACCGGGACUCAAGCAUAUAACCGAAACUGCGUCAUAUAGUUUACUAUAUGGGUAGGGGAGCGUUCUGUUGUAGGAUGAAGUAAGAUCGAAAGGACUUAUGGACGAAGCAGAAGUGAGAAUGUCGGCAUAAGUAGCGAAAACAUUGGUGAGAAUCCAAUGCACCGUAAACCUAAGGUUUCCCCUGGCAGGCUCGUCCGCGGGGGGUUAGUCGGAACCUAAGCUGAGGCCGAAAGGCGUAGGCGAUGGACAUCAGGUUGAUAUUCCUGAACUAUCUGGUAAUCGUUAUCAGAUGCGGAGGGACGCAGGAGGAUAGGCACGCAGCCGACUGGAAGAGGCUGUUUAAGCGUGUAGCUAGUUUGAGUAGGAAAAUCCGCUCAGGCGUUAUGACGUGAGGCGUAAUGAGGAGGAUCUACGGAUCCGAAGGUGUUGACUCCACACUGCCAAGAAAAACUUCGCACUCGAGAUUAUCCGGUAUCCGUACCGUAAACCGCCACAGGUAGGUUAGUAGAAAAUACUAAGGUGCGCGAGACAACUCUCGCUAAGGAACUCGGCAAAAUCACCUCGUAACUUCGGGAGAAGAGGUACCCUGGUAGAGUGAAGCGAUUUACUCGUGGAGCUUGAUAGGGUCGCAGUGAAUUGGCCCAUGCGACUGUUUACCAAAAACACAGGUCUCUGCUAAGUCGAUCAAGACGAUGUAUAGGGGCUGACGCCUGCCCGGUGUCGGAAGGUUACGUGGAAGGGUUAGACUUCGGUCGAAGCUCUGAAACUAAGCCCCGAUGAACGGCGGCCGUAACUAUAACGGUCCUAAGGUAGCGAAAUUCCUUGUCAGGUAAG